GCAAAUGCAUUCUCAAGUGGCGCAGGAAAGUGACGUCACGGACCCCCCCUCGUUCUGGCCCCUUCUGCAUUUUACGGCAUUUUAAACAAUGCCGGCUCAUUGCGCUGCAUUUAAUUGCACAUUACGUCGAACGUUGGAGACAAGGAAACUUGGAAUAACUUUCCAUAGGUUUCCCAAAGACUUUCGGCUGAGGAGGAAGUAGGAAGCAGCUUUGAGGAGAGUGGGGUUUGCUGCAAGUGAUGAGUUGGUGCUCUGCAGCAAACAUUUUAAACCUGAUGAGUUUGACAGUGUGGGGUGUGAAGUGUUACUUACUCAGGGAAACACACAACAAUGUACCUGUGUAUUGUAAAUGUAAAUAAACUGUAUUCUGUUCCA
This is a long non-coding RNA of Acanthochromis polyacanthus (spiny chromis), 375 nucleotides long. RefSeq lists it as uncharacterized. Lineage: Eukaryota; Metazoa; Chordata; Actinopteri; Pomacentridae. The transcript is spliced from 2 exons. The record is from RefSeq and is a predicted model, not a curated record.